CAAGAUGGAGGAGUACACCAGGGAGCCUUGCCCCUGGCAAAUUGUGGAUGACGGUGUGGCCUUUACUAUGGGCACCAUAGGUGGUAUCUUUCAAGCCAUCAAAGGUUUUCGAAAUUCUCCAGUGGGAGUAAAUCACAGACUACGAGGAAGCUUGACAGCCAUUAAAACCAGGGCUCCACAGUUGGGAGGUAGCUUUGCAGUGUGGGGAGGACUGUUUUCUAUGAUUGACUGCAGUAUGGUUCAAGUGAGAGGAAAAGUAGACCCCUGGAACUCCAUCACAAGUGGAGCCUUGACAGGAGCCAUCCUGGCAGCAAGAAAUGGACCUGUGGCCAUGGUUGGGUCAGCUGCGAUGGGUGGCACUCUCCUGGCUUUAAUUGAAGGAGCUAGUAUCUUGUUGACAAGAUUUGCCUCUGCACAGUUUUCCAAUGGCCCUCAGUUUGCUGAAGACCUCUCCCAGUUGCCUUCAAGCCAAUUACCAUCCUCUCCUUUGGUGGACUACCGACAAUACCAGUAGGACUUCUUUCCCAGGGUUUCUCUAACUGGAUGAGCUGUAGGUCAAGAAGGAUUUUGGAAGAUCACAUUACAGUCUGUU
Nannospalax galili (Upper Galilee mountains blind mole rat) is the source of this 592-nucleotide RNA transcript. It is a transcript of the gene named mitochondrial import inner membrane translocase subunit Tim17-A pseudogene, with no coding region annotated. The transcript has a single exon. The record is from RefSeq and is a predicted model, not a curated record. Lineage: Eukaryota; Metazoa; Chordata; Mammalia; Rodentia; Spalacidae.